RNAcentral lists this ribosomal RNA (408 nucleotides) under uncultured bacterium. Its description in RNAcentral is "bacterial SSU rRNA". It matches the Rfam family "Bacterial small subunit ribosomal RNA", at positions 355 to 775 of the family's 1533-position model. The record is from RNAcentral.
UGGGGAAUAUUGGACAAUGGGCGAAAGCCUGAUCCAGCAACGCCGCGUGAGGGAUGACGGCCUUCGGGUUGUAAACCUCUUUCAGCGGGGACGAAGCGCAAGUGACGGUACCCGCAGAAGAAGCACCGGCCAACUACGUGCCAGCAGCCGCGGUAACACGUAGGGUGCAAGUGUUGUCCGGAAUUAUUGGGCGUAAAGGGCUCGUAGGCGGUCCGUCACGUCGGGAGUGAAAACUCGGGGCUCAACCCCGAGCCUGCUUUCGAUACGGGCGGACUAGAGGUAGGUAGGGGAGAACGGAAUUCCUGGUGUAGCGGUGGAAUGCGCAGAUAUCAGGAGGAACACCGGUGGCGAAGGCGGUUCUCUGGGCCUUACCUGACGCUGAGGAGCGAAAGCGUGGGGAGCGAACAG